This 372-nucleotide ribosomal RNA is filed under the name uncultured organism. RNAcentral's name for it is "partial 16S ribosomal RNA". It matches the Rfam family "Bacterial small subunit ribosomal RNA", at positions 527 to 896 of the family's 1533-position model. The record is from RNAcentral.
GUAGGUGGCAAGCGUUGUCCGGAAUUAUUGGGCGUAAAGCGCGCGCAGGCGGUUCUUUAAGUCUGAUGUGAAAGCCCACGGCUCAACCGUGGAGGGUCAUUGGAAACUGGGGAACUUGAGUACAGAAGAGGAAAGCGGGAUUCCACGUGUAGCGGUGAAAUGCGUAGAGAUGUGGAGGAACACCAGUGGCGAAGGCGGCUUUCUGGUCUGUAACUGACGCUGAGGCGCGAAAGCGUGGGGAGCAAACAGGGAUUAGAUACCCUGGUAGUCCACGCCGUAAACGAUGAGUGCUAAGUGUUAGGGGGUUUCCCGCCCCUUAGUGCUGCAGCUAACGCAUUAAGCACUCCGCCUGGGGAGUACGCCGCAAGGCUG